AGGCUGCAACUCGCCUGCAUGAAGGCGGAAUUGCUAGUAAUGGCAGGUCAGCAUACUGCCGUGAAUACGUUCCCGGGCCUUGUACACACCGCCCGUCACACCAUGAGAGUUGGGAAUACCCGAAGCCUGUGAGCUAACGUUAAGAGGCAGCAGUCGAAGGUAGAAUCAAUGAUUGGGGUGAAGUCGUAACAAGGUAUC
RNAcentral lists this ribosomal RNA (198 nucleotides) under uncultured bacterium. Its description in RNAcentral is "partial 16S ribosomal RNA". It matches the Rfam family "Bacterial small subunit ribosomal RNA", at positions 1302 to 1500 of the family's 1533-position model. The record is from RNAcentral.